This 838-nucleotide unclassified non-coding RNA is filed under the name Zea mays. RNAcentral describes it as "misc RNA Zm00001eb136800". The record is from RNAcentral. Lineage: Eukaryota; Viridiplantae; Streptophyta; Magnoliopsida; Poales; Poaceae.
UACGGAGCACACGUUCUUAUUGCGGGCUGCAAUGCUCUGCUUUUACUUAUCCAGUUUAUCAUGUCCCUACACUACUCCCUAGCAAGUACAAUUCAGUUUAUGCAUGCAAAAAACCGUGAACUGACGAAUGUCCAGUAUUCCACUGGCAAAAAGUCCUCGAACUCCUACAUACGCAUUCUAAGAAAACGUGUGGGAGCAUUGAGAAAGGUUGGUCGGAUGAUUCGAAGGGCAACUGCGAAUUGGCAAUGGUAUUGGUAGCCCGUAUCAACCUUCUGUUCCUUCUGCAAAUGACAUUGCCAAGGAUUAGAGAAAAACUUCAAAUGCCUCCGCUUCCUCAUCAUCGGGUUAUGCCUCCGCUUCCUCUAGCUUAUGCUCCUCGUCCUUCAAGAUCUCUUCUUCAUCCCACCUACUCACGCCAAGGAAGAGCUCGUCAGAAAUCUCGCUGGCGGCGUUCCGGACAGCUUCCUCCACGGCCUCCACUUCCUGGAGCCUCGCGCCACGGCAAACGAUCUCAACCUGGAGGUGCCUCAGGGAGGAGGAGAGGCGCCCGAUUCCGAGAUCCCGAACACCGGCAUGCGAAGAGCACGCGCCACGCGCGUUGCAUGGGAUCCGGAGCUUCUCGAGCGCCGGCAUGGCCCCCGGUUCGAAAGCCAGCCCGGUCCCGACUUCCCAGCAGGUGAAGUAGAACUCCCUGAGGCAACGGAAACCGUGGCUGCCGACAGCGACGCCUUCUCCAGGCCUGGCCUCUCUCGAGGAUAUCCAGAGGAACAGCAGGGACGGCAGGUCCCCCAGGGUUCGGAACGACUCCUCGUCCACCGGAGUGAGGUAUAUGUCCAGG